This is a long non-coding RNA of Erinaceus europaeus (western European hedgehog), 409 nucleotides long. RefSeq lists it as uncharacterized. The transcript is spliced from 2 exons. Lineage: Eukaryota; Metazoa; Chordata; Mammalia; Eulipotyphla; Erinaceidae. The record is from RefSeq and is a predicted model, not a curated record.
UCUUGAAGUCAGCAUUGCUUCUAAAGGCCAAAGGGUGGAGAACAACAACUGAAUAAUGAGCAUAUAGUCUCUCUAUACAAAAGGAAUAAAGCACUGAUACCCGCAGCCUCAAGAAUGAACCCUGAGGACAUGACGCUAAGUGAAAGGAGACAGAAACAAAAGAUCUACAAUCCCAUUCAUCAGGAAGUUCAGGGUGGAAACCUCUAUAGAGAUGGAACACAUAUUGUUGGCUCUAACAGCAAAGGGAAUAAGGUCUCAGUGGCUGAUCUCAUUCAGACAGAUCAGGUGCAUAUGACUGCAUCACACCGAAAGGCCAGAAGUCAUAUUACUUUUAAUAUUCCAAGUCGGAGCAAUACUUAAGACCCCUCCAGAAUAAAACAGCCAUCAGACUCAAAAAGAGUCAGGGAAA